This 1396-nucleotide long non-coding RNA is filed under the name Sus scrofa (pig). Its description in RNAcentral is "lncRNA (ENSSSCG00015055769.1)". The record is from RNAcentral. Lineage: Eukaryota; Metazoa; Chordata; Mammalia; Artiodactyla; Suidae.
ACUGGAGGAUACAGCAAAGACUUAAAAGCAGGGAGAGGGAGGUCCUUCUGGAUUCAUUGUCAAUUGUUCUAGUUCCACACCCAUAUGUGGGCCCUCAUAGAGAAGAUAUAAAGGGAGGACAUUGGGAGGCUUUGGAAGUGUGGAUGAUUGUGAGAGCAGACCUGGAAUUACCAUGCAGAAACGGCGUGACUCUGCCUAGGGAGGUUUAUUCUCACACCAAUUAAUUGGUGCUUCAGAGACAAGCUUAUUACAUAUGUGGUAAAAUCUAAGGCAAGCAGCAGCAGUAUUCUGUCCAACAAAGACCCUUUCAAAAUACUCUCUGAUGAUAUGCAAAAUUGUGCUCCAAUGACCAGGCCUAAUCAAAAUAUGGGCAGAGGCUUCAGCCCAAUGUCUGCUGUUCUCUUUAUGGGCCUAAACCCUCUACUGUCCUAAAGAAAAUACUGGAGUGACAGGAGGAAGGCAAUGAAAAGACAAUGGAGCACAACUGUAUCUCAUUCUGUUCAGUUCCAAAUUGUUUCUACUCUGGGUCUGUAAAUCCAACAGCUUCCAACAGUCCCAAGUUUCAGAAGAAAUCUCAGAUGCUUAUGACUAAUAUUUUUUUAAAAAUUAUCUAAGUAAUACUUAAAAUAAUGAAUAAAAUUUUAAAAAUGACAAGUUCAAGCAGGUAUGAUAAACAUGUAUUUUGCACACGAAUCUGAAAACCUGAGAAACAUCACAAUGUGUGUAUUUAUCUACCACUCAAUCUACUUUUAUCUUUUAAAUUUAACAUGAUCUUCUAAUGAAUCAAGAUAAAUGCCCUGACUUUAAAUAGGCUUUCAUCUUACACAAUGGCAUAUGGAUUAUAUUCAAAUGAAAUUUUAAAAAUAGGGGGUAUAUCUCAGUGUUAGAGUAUUUGCAAAUAAAAUAUUAGAAAUCUUUGAGUUGCCUAUUUUGUUUUCCUAAUAAUACAUAUACAAUUAUUAAUUAUUUACACAAUACAUAUAAUACUUUCAAUCAUUGUUUUUCAAACUGAUUAUUCCAAAGGUAAAUCAAAAUCAAGGCAAAGCAGUGUAUUUUUCAUCAGUGUUGUUGUGUCCUUAAUUCAUAUGGAAAAAAGUAACCUUAUAAAUUGUAUAAGUAAUUGUCCAAAUGCAUAUUUGACACUAAUUAUCUGCUGUGUAUAUUUAUAUAGACACGUAUUCUGUAUUUAUAUUUAUUUUUAAUCAUCUCGCUCCCUCCACUGACCCUCAAACUACUAUACAAGCUCCAUCAGGAUAGCAUUUUUUUUUCUUUUCUGUUUAUGAAUGUAUUCCCAAUGUUAUACAGUUCCUGAAAUAUACCAAGCACUCAGUAAACAUUAUUCUUAUCAACAGAAUAUUUUUGCAUUUAAACAGAUGUGCUUUCUCAUAAUCACGUU